AGAGUUUGAUCAUGGCUCAGAAUGAACGCUGGCGGCGCGCCUAAUACAUGCAAGUUGAGCGAGAAGACGUAGCAAUACGUUUGUAAAGCGGCGAACGGGUGAGGAAUACAUGGGUAACCUACCCUCGAGUGGGGAAUAACUAGCCGAAAGGUUAGCUAAUACCGCGUACGCUCCUUGGACUUCGGUUCAGGGAGGAAAGCGAUACCGUGGGUAUCGCGCUCUUGGUUGGGCUCAUGUCCUAUCAGCUUGUUGGUGAGGUAACGGCUCACCAAGGCUUCGACGGGUAGCUGGUCUGAGAGGACGAUCAGCCACACUGGCACUGCGACACGGGCCAGACUCCUACGGGAGGCAGCAGUAAGGAAUAUUGCGCAAUGGGCGAAAGCCUGACGCAGCGACGCCGCGUGGGGGAUGAAGGUCUUCGGAUUGUAAACCCCUUUCGGGAGGGAAGAUGGAAUGGGGUAACCCAUUCGGACGGUACCUCCAGAAGCAGCCACGGCUAACUUCGUGCCAGCAGCCGCGGUAAUACGAAGGUGGCAAGCGUUAUUCGGAUUUACUGGGCGUACAGGGAGCGUAGGCGGUUCGGUAAGCCCUCUGUGAAAUCUUCAGGCUUAACCUGGAAAAGUCGGAGGGGACUGCCGGGCUAGAGGACGGGAGAGGAGCGCGGAAUUCCCGGUGUAGCGGUGAAAUGCGUAGAGAUCGGGAGGAAGGCCGGUGGCGAAGCGGCGCUCUGGAACGUUUCUGACGCUGAGGCUCGAAAGCGUGGGUAGCAAACAGGAUUAGAUACCCUAGUAGUCC
RNAcentral lists this ribosomal RNA (795 nucleotides) under uncultured bacterium. RNAcentral describes it as "bacterial SSU rRNA". It matches the Rfam family "Bacterial small subunit ribosomal RNA", at positions 8 to 796 of the family's 1533-position model. The record is from RNAcentral.